This is a long non-coding RNA of Sapajus apella (tufted capuchin), 956 nucleotides long. RefSeq lists it as uncharacterized. The transcript has 2 exons. The record is from RefSeq and is a predicted model, not a curated record. NCBI's taxonomy places the organism in Eukaryota, Metazoa, Chordata, Mammalia, Primates, Cebidae.
UCCAGGGGAGGGAAACUGGGCUCCACCUCUUGAAGGGAGGGGCACCAAAUAAUUUGCAAGUAUAUUUCAAAACUACUGCAGGUCACAUGGUGCAGAAAGAGAGAAGCAGAGCCAAAGAAUAUUAAAACCUAUAGAAUUUAUAAUAGCAAAAAUGAAGUACGUGAAUGUUGGAACACUUGGAGCUCCUUUCUCUCUAUGAUCUGCCCAGGAAAACUGAUGUGAAGAAAUGUGGAAGAGAGCCAGCCAGUGGAUGGGAGGGUGACGUAAAGAUUUUAAGUUGCUUGAUGGCAAGAACUUUGUUCUUGAAGAUUUUCAAAAGCCCCAUGGCAUAUGGAAGUACUUGACACACAGUGAGUACACAGUCAUAUGUGAUUUGGGUUUCUGAGGCUUCACUUGUUCAACUAAAUCAGAUGGGUGUUAGAUGAAGAUAUAUGUGGCAAACACUGCAUGCCUACUGUGUGCCAGGGUAGACCCCAGACGUGCAGAGGACAAGACAAAAGCUCUGUCCUCAGGCAUCCAUGAUGGUUCAACCCAACCAAUGAAGUCUUACCAUCUCACUUCCUCCUUACCUGGCAGAAUUGGAAGAUAUUCAGAUUCCUAGAAUUCUUUGUCAACCUAUCAGGAUUAUAAUUCCACAGAUCAGGCAGAGUGUAACCUGAAGCUCUUCAGUGAAUCUGUAGUGACUUUUGGGUGGUUUUUAAGUUUCCGAGUAGAAGAAGCAAAAGACCCUUAUAGUGGUCACCUUCCAUCUAAACAGAGAGUGAGCUGCAGAGAUACUGCUGUCCCUCACUGGCCCAUGGGUGUCCCUGCAAAUCUGUGACUCAAGUGGACAUAUUCAUAUUAAGCAGACCAGAGAUGAAAGCCAUAUUAGGCAUGAACCACUUUUUAUUCAUAGGCUUACCGAAUACAUUGCAUUAAGAGGCAUAUCGUUUGCACACUCUAUUUACCAAAAAGAG